AACGGGAAGCCUGGCUUCGGCCGGGUGGAGAGUGGCGCACGGGUGAGUAACGCGUGGGCACCUGCCCUGGGGUAGGGAAUAACCGCUGGAAACGGCGGCUAAUACCCUAUACGCCUUUUGAGGGAAAGAUUUAUCGCCCUGGGAUGGGCCCGCGUCGGAUUAGGUAGUUGGUGGGGUAAAGGCCUACCAAGCCCGCGAUCCGUAGCUGGUCUGAGAGGAUGAUCAGCCACACUGGGACUGAGACACGGCCCAGACUCCUACGGGAGGCAGCAGUGGGGAAUAUUGGACAAUGGGGGCAACCCUGAUCCAGCCAUGCCGCGUGAGUGAAGAAGGCCUUAGGGUUGUAAAGCUCUUUCAACGGUGAAGAUGAUGACGGUAGCCGUAGAAGAAGCCCCGG
This 397-nucleotide ribosomal RNA is filed under the name uncultured Alphaproteobacteria bacterium. RNAcentral describes it as "bacterial SSU rRNA". It matches the Rfam family "Bacterial small subunit ribosomal RNA", at positions 65 to 496 of the family's 1533-position model. Lineage: Bacteria; Pseudomonadati; Pseudomonadota; Alphaproteobacteria. The record is from RNAcentral.